Molecule: ribosomal RNA, 459 nt
Filed under: uncultured bacterium
Lineage: Bacteria
Description: partial 16S ribosomal RNA
Rfam family: Bacterial small subunit ribosomal RNA
Source: RNAcentral
CCUACGGGGGGCUGCAGUGAGGAAUAUUGGUCAAUGGGCGGAAGCCUGAACCAGCCAAGUAGCGUGCAGGAUGACGGCCCUACGGGUUGUAAACUGCUUUUAUACGGGAAUAACGCGCCUUACGUGUAGGGCUUUGUAUGUACCGUAUGAAUAAGGACCGGCUAAUUCCGUGCCAGCAGCCGCGGUAAUACGGAAGGUCCGGGCGUUAUCCGGAUUUAUUGGGUUUAAAGGGUGCGUAGGCGGAAUAUCAAGUCAGCGGUAAAAAUUCGGGGCUCAACCCCGUCGUGCCGUUGAAACUGAUGUUCUUGAGUGGGCGAGAAGUAUGCGGAAUGCGUGGUGUAGCGGUGAAAUGCAUAGAUAUCACGCAGAACUCCGAUUGCGAAGGCAGCAUACCGGCGCCCAACUGACGCUGAAGCACGAAAGCGUGGGUAUCGAACAGGAUUAGAUACCCUUGUAGUC